Molecule: ribosomal RNA, 253 nt
Filed under: uncultured bacterium
Lineage: Bacteria
Description: partial 16S ribosomal RNA
Rfam family: Bacterial small subunit ribosomal RNA
Source: RNAcentral
UACAGAAGGUGCGAGCGUUAAUCGGAAUUACUGGGCGUAAAGCGCGCGUAGGCGGCUUUGCAAGUCGGGUGUGCAAUCCCCAGGCUUAACCUGGGAACUGCAUUCGAGACUGCAUUGCUAGAGUAUGGGAGAGGGAAGUGGAAUUUCCGGUGUAGCGGUGAAAUGCGUAGAUAUCGGAAGGAACAUCAGUGGCGAAAGCGGCUCACUGGACCGGUACUGACGCUGAGGCGCGAAAGCGUGGGGAGCAAACAGG